This 334-nucleotide ribosomal RNA is filed under the name Crataegus flavida. RNAcentral describes it as "eukaryotic LSU rRNA". The record is from RNAcentral. Lineage: Eukaryota; Viridiplantae; Streptophyta; Magnoliopsida; Rosales; Rosaceae.
UGGAGAAUCCCGUGAACCAUCGAGUCUCUAAACGCAAGUUGCGCCUGAAGCCAUUAAGCCGAUGACGCACCUGCUUGGGCGUCACACGCCGUUUCCCCACCCAGCACUUCCAUUGGAAGCAUCGGUGGGCGGACGAUGGCUUUCAGUGCGUCACCACGCGUGGUUGGCACAAAUGUUUAGUCCCCGGUGAUGAACGCCACGACAAUCGUUGGUUGCCAAACCUCGGUUGCCUGUUGUGCACUUUCAUCGAGCUCUGGGCGAUUCACGAUGCUCACUGCUUUGCUUCGGUGGAGCCUUCAGCGCGACCCCAGGUCAGGCAGGGUUACCUACUAAA